UACGUAGGGGCCUAGCGUUGUCCGGAUUUAUUGGGCGUAAAGAGCUCGUAGGCGGUUUGGUGAGUCGGGUGUGAAAUCUCCACGCUCAACGUGGAGGGGCCACCCGAUACUGCCAUGACUAGAGUCCGGUAGGGGAGUGUGGAAUUCCCGGUGUAGCGGUGAAAUGCGCAGAUAUCGGGAGGAACACCAGUAGCGAAGGCGGCUGGCUGGACCUGACCUGACGCUGAGGCGCGAAGGCGUGGGGAGCGAACGGG
This 254-nucleotide ribosomal RNA is filed under the name uncultured bacterium. RNAcentral describes it as "partial 16S ribosomal RNA". It matches the Rfam family "Bacterial small subunit ribosomal RNA", at positions 524 to 776 of the family's 1533-position model. The record is from RNAcentral.